RNAcentral lists this ribosomal RNA (279 nucleotides) under uncultured bacterium. RNAcentral describes it as "partial 16S ribosomal RNA". It matches the Rfam family "Bacterial small subunit ribosomal RNA", at positions 506 to 784 of the family's 1533-position model. The record is from RNAcentral.
UGCCAGCAGCCGCGGUAAUACGGAGGGUGCAAGCGUUAUCCGGAUUUAUUGGGUUUAAAGGGUACGUAGGCGGUAAAAUCAGUCAGUGGUGAAAUCCAACAGCUUAACUGUUGAACUGCCAUUGAUACUACUUUACUUGAGUGCAGUCGAAGUAGGUGGAAUUCCACAUGUAGUGGUGAAAUGCAUAGAUAUGUGGAGGAACACCAAUAACGAAGGUAGCUUACUAGGCUGUUACUGACGCUGAGGUACGAAAGCGUGGGGAGCAAACGGGAUUAGAUA